This 337-nucleotide ribosomal RNA is filed under the name Carex laxa. Its description in RNAcentral is "eukaryotic LSU rRNA". The stretch from base 197 to 337 matches the Rfam family "Eukaryotic large subunit ribosomal RNA", at positions 1 to 141 of the family's 3401-position model. Lineage: Eukaryota; Viridiplantae; Streptophyta; Magnoliopsida; Poales; Cyperaceae. The record is from RNAcentral.
ACAAACCGUCGUCCCAUCCUCAUCCUUUUCGGAUGCGGGACGGAAGAUGGUCUCCCGUGUGUUACCGCACGCGGUUGGCCGAAAUCCGAGCGAAGGACGCCUGGAGCGUCCCGACAUGCGGUGGCGAAUCCAAGCCUCUUCACAUUGUCGGUCGUUCUUUGUCCGGAUGCUCUAAGAUGACCCAAAGUCUUCCAAGCGACCCCAGGUCAGGCGGGAUCACCCGCUGAGUUUAAGCAUAUCAAUAAGCGGAGGAAAAGAAACUAACAAGGAUUCCCUUAGUAACGGCGAGCGAACCGGGAAGAGCCCAGCUUGAAAAUCGGACGUCUUUGACGUUCGA